GUGUGUGAGCUGCAGUGUUGCGCAGUUUUCUGAUACUUGCACACAGCUCGCGUUUCUUCUUGAAACAAAGUUUUUGAUCAGCGGCUUCGUGUUUCAGCAUCACUGUGAUGUCAGACUGUGACACUGAAUUAUCGCAUCGCGCAGUUUACAACCGUAACGAAAAGUCAGAGCAUAAUAAUCGUUAGCAGUGAAAACGGAGCAGCAGAUGUAACCUGAGUUGUUACCUGUGCAGCAGCAGAGGCGGGGGCAAGUACAUCGGCGCUCUGUCUGCGGGACACACUGGAUACAGGUAAUAGACAUCUGGCACGUUGAUGAACGGAGCAACACCCGAAUCUUGGAACAGCUGAUGUUUGCUGGAGCCACAGCUGUAAAGCUGCUGGUCAUGAUGUCGGUCUGGAUAUGUGGUGAGAGGGAAACAUGCAGAUGAAACCAGGAGAUGUCCUUACUGAAUCAUCAGAGCUGAACAGGGGAGAUGGGGAUUCUUAGAUUAAACCACUCCAAGAAGCAGCAGAAAACAGUCAGUGACCUGAAGAAGGGAGCGCUGAAGCUGUUUCCCAAGAAAGGCUAUCUUAUGGGUGAAGUCCGGCUGAUUGUCUCUGGGAAGCCGCUGGAUGAUGACUCUGCAUCUCUGUCUGAAUAUGGGAUCAAACCCUCGUCUGUGGUGCAGAUGGUGGCGAAGGUCCACGGAGGCUGACAGACAUCAUCGUCGAUGCACUCGACUGCAUCCACAAGACUCACAGCAGGACUUAAAUAUGAGACCCCAAAGGACAAAAUCCGUCAUCUUUAACUCUUUUAAGACUUGUCCCAUACCUGCUUAGAGUUCAGCACUAAUUAAUUAUCAUGAGCUGUAAAUGAUGAAUAAUUGGGAUGUAAUAAUGUAUUUUGUGUUUAUUUUGUGCUUGUGUUUAUUUCCCUGCUAAGAUGUGUAACUUGCUAUUUGUUGGUUUUUCAAAAAUAACUUUAAAUGUAUAUAAUUUUUCCCAAGAAAGUCAUAUUGAGAUAUU
Molecule: long non-coding RNA, 1004 nt
Organism: Pelmatolapia mariae (spotted tilapia)
Lineage: Eukaryota; Metazoa; Chordata; Actinopteri; Cichliformes; Cichlidae
Exons: 4
Source: RefSeq, a predicted model, not a curated record